GAUGAACGCUGGCGGCGUGCUUAACACAUGCAAGUCGAACGCGAAAGAGACUUCGGUCUCGAGUAGAGUGGCGCACGGGUGAGUAACGCGUGGAUAAUCUGCCCUCAUGACCGGGAUAACAGUUGGAAACGGCUGCUAAUACCGGAUACGCUCUGAAUGAACUUUUAGGGGAAAGACGGCCUCUGCUUGCAAGCUGUCGUAUGAGGAUGAGUCCGCGUCCCAUUAGCUGGUUGGCGGGGUAACGGCCCACCAAGGCAACGAUGGGUAGCCGAUCUGAGAGGAUGAUCGGCCACACUGGAACUGAAACACGGUCCAGACUCCUACGGGAGGCAGCAGUGGGGAAUAUUGCGCAAUGGGCGAAAGCCUGACGCAGCGACGCCGCGUGAGGGAUGAAGGUUUUCGGAUCGUAAACCUCUGUCAGAAGGGAAGAAAGUGCGUGGUGCUAAUCAGCCGCGCAUUGACGGUACCUUCAAAGGAAGCACCGGCUAACUCCGUGCCAGCCGCCGCAGUAA
RNAcentral lists this ribosomal RNA (512 nucleotides) under uncultured bacterium. RNAcentral describes it as "partial 16S ribosomal RNA". It matches the Rfam family "Bacterial small subunit ribosomal RNA", at positions 28 to 523 of the family's 1533-position model. The record is from RNAcentral.